This 428-nucleotide ribosomal RNA is filed under the name Bacillota bacterium. RNAcentral describes it as "Firmicutes bacterium partial 16S ribosomal RNA". It matches the Rfam family "Bacterial small subunit ribosomal RNA", at positions 355 to 776 of the family's 1533-position model. Lineage: Bacteria; Bacillati; Bacillota. The record is from RNAcentral.
UAGGGAAUCUUCGGCAAUGGACGGAAGUCUGACCGAGCAACGCCGCGUGAGUGAAGAAGGUUUUCGGAUCGUAAAGCUCUGUUGUUAGAGAAGAACGUUGGUAGGAGUGAAAAUCCACCAAGUGAAGGUAACUAACCAGAAAGGGAAGGCUAACUACGUGGCAACCGCCGCGGUAAUACGUAGGGCCCGAGCGUUGUCCGGAUUUAUUGGGCGUAAAGCGAGCGCAGGCGGUUCUUUAAGUCUGAAGUUAAAGGCAGUGGCUUAACCAUUGUACGCUUUGGAAACUGGAGGACUUGAGUGCAGAAGGGGGGAGUGGAAUUCCAUGUGUAGCGGUGAAAUGCGUAGAUAUAUGGAGGAACACCGGUGGCGAAAGCGGCUCUCUGGUCUGUAACUGACGCUGAGGCUCGAAAGCGUGGGGAGCAAACAGG